CAGUCGCCGCGGUAAUACGAAGGGGGCUAGCGUUGUUCGGAAUUACUGAGCGUAAAGCGCACGUAGGCGGAUAUUUAAGUCAGGGGUGAAAUCCCAGAGCUCAACUCUGGAACUGCCUUUGAUACUGGGUAUCUUGAGUAUGGAAGAGGUGAGUGGAAUUCCGAGUGUAGAGGUGAAAUUCGUAGAUAUUCGGAGGAACACCAGUGGCGAAGGCGGCUCACUGGUCCAUUACUGACGCUGAGGUGCGAAAGCGUGGGGAGCAAACAGGAUUAGAUACCCGAGUAGUCCCUGUCUCUUAUAC
Molecule: ribosomal RNA, 301 nt
Filed under: uncultured bacterium
Lineage: Bacteria
Description: partial 16S ribosomal RNA
Rfam family: Bacterial small subunit ribosomal RNA
Source: RNAcentral